GUGGGGAAUAUUGCACAAUGGGCGAAAGCCUGAUGCAGCGACGCCGCGUGAGUGAAGAAGUAUUUCGGUAUGUAAAGCUCUAUCAGCAGGGAAGAAAAUGACGGUACCUGACUAAGAAGCCCCGGCUAACUACGUGCCAGCAGCCGCGGUAAUACGUAGGGGGCAAGCGUUAUCCGGAUUUACUGGGUGUAAAGGGAGCGUAGACGGCGAAGCAAGUCUGAAGUGAAAACCCAGGGCUCAACCCUGGGACUGCUUUGGAAACUGUUUUGCUAGAGUGUCGGAGAGGUAAGUGGAAUUCCUAGUGUAGCGGUGAAAUGCGUAGAUAUUAGGAGGAACACCAGUGGCGAAGGCGGCUUACUGGACGAUAACUGACGUUGAGGCUCGAAAGCGUGGGGAGCAAACAGGAUUAGAAACCCGGGUAGUCC
This 425-nucleotide ribosomal RNA is filed under the name uncultured bacterium. Its description in RNAcentral is "bacterial SSU rRNA". It matches the Rfam family "Bacterial small subunit ribosomal RNA", at positions 354 to 796 of the family's 1533-position model. The record is from RNAcentral.